RNAcentral lists this ribosomal RNA (1420 nucleotides) under Enhydrobacter aerosaccus. Its description in RNAcentral is "16S ribosomal RNA". It matches the Rfam family "Bacterial small subunit ribosomal RNA". The record is from RNAcentral. Lineage: Bacteria; Pseudomonadati; Pseudomonadota; Alphaproteobacteria; Hyphomicrobiales.
GGCUCAGAUUGAACGCUGGCGGCAGGCUUAACACAUGCAAGUCGAACGAUGAUUAUCUAGCUUGCUAGAUAUGAUUAGUGGCGGACGGGUGAGUAACAUUUAGGAAUCUGCCUAGUAGUGGGGGAUAGCUCGGGGAAACUCGAAUUAAUACCGCAUACGACCUACGGGUGAAAGGGGGCGCAAGCUCUUGCUAUUAGAUGAGCCUAAAUCAGAUUAGCUAGUUGGUGGGGUAAAGGCCCACCAAGGCGACGAUCUGUAACUGGUCUGAGAGGAUGAUCAGUCACACCGGAACUGAGACACGGUCCGGACUCCUACGGGAGGCAGCAGUGGGGAAUAUUGGACAAUGGGGGCAACCCUGAUCCAGCCAUGCCGCGUGUGUGAAGAAGGCCUUUUGGUUGUAAAGCACUUUAAGCAGGGAGGAGAGGCUAAUGGUUAAUACCCAUUAGAUUAGACGUUACCUGCAGAAUAAGCACCGGCUAACUCUGUGCCAGCAGCCGCGGUAAUACAGAGGGUGCGAGCGUUAAUCGGAAUUACUGGGCGUAAAGCGAGUGUAGGUGGCUCAUUAAGUCACAUGUGAAAUCCCCGGGCUUAACCUGGGAACUGCAUGUGAUACUGGUGGUGCUAGAAUAUGUGAGAGGGAAGUAGAAUUCCAGGUGUAGCGGUGAAAUGCGUAGAGAUCUGGAGGAAUACCGAUGGCGAAGGCAGCUUCCUGGCAUAAUAUUGACACUGAGAUUCGAAAGCGUGGGUAGCAAACAGGAUUAGAUACCCUGGUAGUCCACGCCGUAAACGAUGUCUACUAGCCGUUGGGGUCCUUGAGACUUUAGUGGCGCAGUUAACGCGAUAAGUAGACCGCCUGGGGAGUACGGCCGCAAGGUUAAAACUCAAAUGAAUUGACGGGGGCCCGCACAAGCGGUGGAGCAUGUGGUUUAAUUCGAUGCAACGCGAAGAACCUUACCUGGUCUUGACAUAGUGAGAAUCUUUCAGAGAUGAGAGAGUGCCUUCGGGAAUUCACAUACAGGUGCUGCAUGGCUGUCGUCAGCUCGUGUCGUGAGAUGUUGGGUUAAGUCCCGCAACGAGCGCAACCCUUUUCCUUAUUUGCCAGCGGGUUAAGCCGGGAACUUUAAGGAUACUGCCAGUGACAAACUGGAGGAAGGCGGGGACGACGUCAAGUCAUCAUGGCCCUUACGACCAGGGCUACACACGUGCUACAAUGGUAGGUACAGAGGGUUGCUACACAGCGAUGUGAUGCUAAUCUCAAAAAGCCUAUCGUAGUCCGGAUUGGAGUCUGCAACUCGACUCCAUGAAGUCGGAAUCGCUAGUAAUCGCAGAUCAGAAUGCUGCGGUGAAUACGUUCCCGGGCCUUGUACACACCGCCCGUCACACCAUGGGAGUCUAUUGCACCAGAAGUAGGUAGCCUAAC